GCGGGCGUGGCGGAAUGGUAGACGCAAGGGACUUAAAAUCCCUGGACUUUUGUCGUGCGGGUUCGAGUCCCGCCGCCCGUACCA
Molecule: transfer RNA, 84 nt
Filed under: Jiella mangrovi
Lineage: Bacteria; Pseudomonadati; Pseudomonadota; Alphaproteobacteria; Hyphomicrobiales; Aurantimonadaceae
Description: tRNA-Leu
Rfam family: tRNA
About the family: Transfer RNA (tRNA) molecules are approximately 80 nucleotides in length. Their secondary structure includes four short double-helical elements and three loops (D, anti-codon, and T loops).
Source: RNAcentral